UUUGGAAAUUAAGCAGGUCCAUGCAUGGUUAGUACUUAGCUGGGAGACUACCCAAGAAUGCAAGGAAUGUCCAGGC
Molecule: ribosomal RNA, 76 nt
Filed under: Pogona vitticeps (central bearded dragon)
Lineage: Eukaryota; Metazoa; Chordata; Lepidosauria; Squamata; Agamidae
Source: RNAcentral